UCUUGUCGGUGACACCCCAAGCCAUUACAAAAAUGUUUGCCCAUGCCCCUUGACUAUGUGGAGCCCUCACCCUGUUCCAUCUCACAACACCACACCUUUGCUUUCUUACUUGUUAUGCUCUUAAGACAAAACAGGAUUCCGGGGCGUAAUGUUGAUGUCCCCAGGUGGUGCUCGUCACCGUCACACCUAGCUGGAUCUUUACACUUGUCCCAAUCUGGGUGGACCAUUUCCAGCGACUUCCAAUUCGAGAAUGCCC
RNAcentral lists this long non-coding RNA (256 nucleotides) under Gossypium barbadense (sea-island cotton). RNAcentral describes it as "long non-coding RNA (GBAR_LNC003881)". Lineage: Eukaryota; Viridiplantae; Streptophyta; Magnoliopsida; Malvales; Malvaceae. The record is from RNAcentral.